This 3183-nucleotide ribosomal RNA is filed under the name Triticum aestivum (bread wheat). RNAcentral's name for it is "partial small subunit ribosomal RNA". Lineage: Eukaryota; Viridiplantae; Streptophyta; Magnoliopsida; Poales; Poaceae. The record is from RNAcentral.
AUGGCAUCAUCUUCUUGGAAAAAAUGGCCCGAUCAUGAGCGGGAUAAAUGGCGUGAUGAUCUGAGAGAUAUAGAUUUUUGGCUGAAGGGAUACAGUCACACGCCAGAGUAUGCUGACUUCAUGUUUCUAAUGCUUCUACCUUUUUCUCAUGGGUCCGUACAUUGGAAUGUUGGGGUAGGACCCAUGGCUUCAUUCAGACGUGCCAUUACAGCCAUGGCUUUGGAUAUAGUGUGUAAGCACUCUGCUCCCUUUGAUCACUUGGUAAAGGUGGAUCUGAGGCCCACGCCAACGGAAGACCAAGCCCAAGGAACAGGCUUGAUGAGCAUCAAGUACCAGUUGGCCGUAGCUGCGGCAAAGGAGCUGGACCUGCUUGUCCCAGAAUACAACCGGCUCAAAGAACAACAUGAAGAGGUACAGUACUACACCUAUGGGUCGCGGUAUGAUGGUGGUGCGUCUGAACGAUUGGAGCUAUACGUGCGGCAAGCAAUUGUUCCUCAGAUCAUCAAACAGUUGUUAACCAAGAGGUACUUGCUAGUGGUCGAGAACCUCCAGUGGCCAAUUGAGCCAGGCAAUUUAACAGCAGAUGUUGGGCUUCCUCCACCCUCGUGGGAAGCGUCUGCAUGGAUCUUCGAUGCCACUUCUCGUGAUGCCUAUUACAAGAGCAAGUCAGUGGGUGAUAGAUUAAUACCUUCAUAUGAAACACAUGGAGUGGUUGUGUUUCUCACUGCCUUUGCACUGCAUCAGUCGGCCGAGUACAUACUCAACAUGAUCUCUCAAGAAAGCAAGGAGUAUUGGCAUCGCAUAGCCCUCCAUUGCUUCCACUAUGCCAUGGUGAUGUUUGCUGGACAUUCACAAGUUGUGGCUGUUACCUCGGACGAGCUCAUCCACCAGUGGGCUGUCCAAGGCAUCUUGCCACAUAUGGCCCUCGAAAAAGAAGAAACCAGCACCAAGUGUUCCCAUAUGCAUCAAGUUGGAAAUCUCAUAAUUGAAGCAUUUCAGAAAUACUCUUUGUUGCAGCUACCUUUUUCUCCUGCUGAUGGAGCUUAUGACGCCACCAAUACCGGCGCACAAUUCUUAGCGUACCACGGCAUAGUUGCAGAAGGAAUCACAAUUGAAGAACUCUUUGAUAACAAGAAAAAAUGGAUUUCCUUCGUCGGAGACGACGGAUUGCAUGUAAGCCGAGAAUGGUUGAGCCUAGAGGAAACCAGGGGGCCGACUGCACUAAUUCUGAGAGGCUGCUCACAACAAUCGCUCGUACUUUCCAAGCUGGACUAUUUCUUGCCCAAAAUUUGUUUCCUCCGUGCUCUUGAUCUCUCCUACACUCCUAUAAAAUCUCUUCCUUCUUCCAUGUCUUGCUUACUAAGCCUUCGCCUGCUUUCCCUUAGAGGCUGUCAUGAUCUUAAAACUCUUUCCAGUUCAUCUACAGUAACCGUCACCAACUCAUCAACAAAUAUUAGUCCAUAUUCACCAUUGUCCACUCUAUACCAACUUCAAAUUCUUGACAUGAAUGGAGUUCCUUGUUCUCAGCUAACACAAGAUGUGGCCAAGCAAAAGAGCAAUUUGAUUCACCUCGACAUGUCCUAUUCAGAAAUAACUACUUUUCCUCCUACUUUUUUUGAGAACAUGUCAAAUCUUGAAGAACUUAUCAUGACCAGCUGUUCAAACCUUGUGGAGCUUCCUCCUUCCAUGGCUUCUCUAUCCAACCUAACGACCCUUGAGUUCACAGCGACUCGGAUAAAAUACUUUCCACACAAGAUAUUUGAAGAAAUGCAGAAGCUACAGUCGUUGAAGCUAAUCGAGAACAAGGAAUUGAUUUCACUUACAGGGCCAAUCUCUGGUGACCACAGAACCAAAUUGGAAGGCCAUCCAAACAUUGUAUCCUUCAUGCUGAUCGGCACACCUCAUAUGAGGGGUUUGUCUUUGCGUGGAUGUAGAAAACUUGAGUCUGUCGAGAUCAAGGAUCUUGGUGAUUUGGAGGAGCUUGAUUUGUCUGGUACAAGUAUCAAGGAGCUCGGUGAUGAAAUCCCUAAUCUUCCCCAGCUUAGGAGAUUGCUCCUUGGGGGUGUUCCUUUUCUGAGGCGAUUUCCUUGGCAUAAGUUGGAGCGACUCCCUGAUGUGUUUUACAUGGAUCACUGUUCAGAAGGAAAUGUUAAUCACUCUAGUCAAGUUUCCAAAGUGUGUGUUACUGACCCAAGGUUCUUCCAUAGCUUUAAUGACACAGUUGUGGAUUUAAUAACAGAUGGACAGUUUUUCCAAUCAUUCUAUGUUCGAGUUGCACCAUGCACUACAAAUAGCAUGCAACUGCAAGAUGAAGAAGUCAUGCUACAUAACAAGUUGCAGCAGUUUGUUCAGAAGCAAGCAACAUAUCCUGAUGUAUAUGACAAUUGUUAUGUAGAGAAAAUUGCAGUUCCGUCACCAAAAACAAUUCCCCUUCAUCGUACUGAGCGCCAUGUGGAGAUCACAGGGACGCAAUUGGGAAUUGAUGGUUUAAGCUAUCUUCUAAGAGUCACCAAAUCAAUUUCGGUGGCAUGUGAUACUUCUAUCAAUUAUUUUGAUGACUCGGCCCAUUUUUACGAGCUAGAAGAAUGUGGGAUACGUUGGUGCCAUAAAAUGGAAAGUGUUUUCAAUGGAAGCACAGGCUUGGAAAAACUACGCAAUAUGCAUGUGUGUGAUCUCAAAAGUCUUGUUUGGCUCUGUUCACAGUAUAGUUCUUUUGCCUUCAGUUCACUAGAGCACCUGCACCUGGAGAACUGCCCUAGAUUGGAGCACGUGCUGCCACAAACAACAACACUGCCAUGCCUCAAGACACUUAACAUCCUGUUCUGCUACAAACUCAAGACAAUUAUCAUCAGCAAUUAUAUACAAGAGAAUACUUAUCAGCUCCCAAGCCUCCAAAGGAUACGUCUCCAGGAGUUGCCACAGCUCCAGCACUUCCAUGACAAGGACGCCACCAUCACAUCACCUGUGUGGAAGGAGCUCCACAUCCGAGGGUGCUGGAGCCUCCGACGCCUCCCACUCCUAGAAGGAUGCCAGCCGGAGACAGUGAAGGUGAACGGCGAGAGGAGCUGGUGGAGCAAGCUCCAGUGGGGCUCACCCCUGCACCACGACAGUUACAACCCCAAGCUGCCCCCGGAGUUCGCCUCAUUCGAUGAGUGCGCCGAGAUGAGCAGCUACCUCAGAUGA